Molecule: ribosomal RNA, 1283 nt
Filed under: uncultured bacterium
Lineage: Bacteria
Description: bacterial SSU rRNA
Rfam family: Bacterial small subunit ribosomal RNA
Source: RNAcentral
AACGAACGCUGGCGGCAGGCCUAACACAUGCAAGUCGAGCGCACCUUCCGGUGAGCGGCGGACGGGUUAGUAACGCGUGGGAACGUACCCUUUUCUACGGAAUAGCCUUUGGAAACGAAGAGUAAUACCGUAUACGCCCUUUGGGGGAAAGAUUUAUCGGAGAAGGAUCGGCCCGCGUUAGAUUAGAUAGUUGGUGGGGCACCGGCCUACCAAGUCUACGAUCUAUAGCUGGUUUUAUAGGAUGAUCAGCAACACUGGGACUGAGACACGGCCCACACUCCUACGGGAGGCAGCAGUGGGGAAUCUUAGACGAUGGGCGCAAGCCUGAUCUAGCCAUGCCGCGUGAGUGAUGAAGGCCUUAGGGUCGUAAAGCUCUUUCGCCUGUGAUGAUAGUGACAGUAGCAGGUGAAGAAACCCCGGCUAACUCCGUGCCAGCAGCCGCGGUAAUACGGAGGGGGUUAGCGUUGUUCGGAAUUACUGGGCGUAAAGCGCACGUAGGCGGGUUGGAAAGUUGGGGGUGAAAUCCCGGGGCUCAACCCCGGAACUGCCUCCAAAACUAUCAGUCUAGAGUUCGAGAGAGGUGAGUGGAAUUCCAAGUGUAGAGGUGAAAUUCGUAGAUAUUUGGAGGAACACCAGUGGCGAAGGCGGCUCACUGGCUCGAUACUGACGCUGAGGUGCGAAAGUGUGGGGAGCAAACAGGAUUAGAUACCCUGGUAGUCCACACCGUAAACGAUGAAUGCCAGUCGUCGGGCAGUAUACUGUUCGGUGACACACCUAACGGAUUAAGCAUUCCGCCUGGGGAGUACGGUCGCAAGAUUAAAACUCAAGGGAAUUGACGGGGGCCCGCACAAGCGGUGGAGCAUGUGGUUUAAUUCGAAGCAACGCGCAGAACCUUACCAACCCUUGACAUACUCGUCGUCGCUCCAGAGAUGGAGCUUUCAGUUCGGCUGGACGAGAUACAGGUGCUGCAUGGCUGUCGUCAGCUCGUGUCGUGAGAUGUUCGGUUAAGUCCGGCAACGAGCGCAACCCACAUCCCUAGUUGCCAGCAGUUCGGCUGGGCACUCUAUGGAAACUGCCCGUGAUAAGCGGGAGGAAGGUGUGGAUGACGUCAAGUCCUCAUGGCCCUUACGGGUUGGGCUACACACGUGCUACAAUGGCAGUGACAAUGGGUUAAUCCCAAAAAACUGUCUCAGUUCGGAUUGGGGUCUGCAACUCGACCCCAUGAAGUCGGAAUCGCUAGUAAUCGCGUAACAGCAUGACGCGGUGAAUACGUUCCCGGGCCU